This 498-nucleotide ribosomal RNA is filed under the name uncultured bacterium. RNAcentral describes it as "partial 16S ribosomal RNA". It matches the Rfam family "Bacterial small subunit ribosomal RNA", at positions 27 to 507 of the family's 1533-position model. The record is from RNAcentral.
GGAUGAACGCUGGCGGCGUGCCUAAUACAUGCAAGUCGAGCGAACAGACGAGGAGCUUGCUCCUCUGACGUUAGCGGCGGACGGGUGAGUAACACGUGGAUAACCUACCUAUAAGACUGGGAUAACUUCGGGAAACCGGAGCUAAUACCGGAUAAUAUAUUGAACCGCAUGGUUCAAUAGUGAAAGACGGUUUUGCUGUCACUUAUAGAUGGAUCCGCGCCGCAUUAGCUAGUUGGUAAGGUAACGGCUUACCAGGGCAACGAUGCGUAGCCGACCUGAGAGGGUGAUCGGACACACUGGAACUGAGACACGGUCCAGACUCCUACGGGAGGCAGCAGUAGGGAAUCUUCCGCAAUGGGCGAAAGCCUGACGGAGCAACGCCGCGUGAGUGAUGAAGGUCUUCGGAUCGUAAAACUCUGUUAUUAGGGAAGAACAAAUGUGUAAGUAACUAUGCACGUCUUGACGGUACCUAAUCAGAAAGCCACGGCUAACUACGUG